GAUGAACGCUGGCGGCAUGCCUAAGACAUGCAAGUCGAACGAAGGGACCCAAUGAGAUUUAUAGAAGUUUGGAGAGCUUGCUCAAAGAAUGGAAAUAAAUCAAUUUGGAUCAUCCCUUAGUGGCAAACGGGUGAGUAACACGUGGGUUACCUGCCUUCAAGAUGGGGAUAACAGUUGGAAACGAUUGCUAAUACCGAAUGUGAUCUACGGAUUAAAGAAGCCUUUAAAGCUUCGCUUGAAGAUGGGCCUGCGGUGCAUUAGCUAGUUGGUGAGGUAACGGCCCACCAAGGCGACGAUGCAUAGCCGAACUGAGAGGUUAAUCGGGCCACAUUGGGACUGAGACACGGCCCAAA
This 353-nucleotide ribosomal RNA is filed under the name uncultured bacterium. Its description in RNAcentral is "bacterial SSU rRNA". It matches the Rfam family "Bacterial small subunit ribosomal RNA", at positions 28 to 335 of the family's 1533-position model. The record is from RNAcentral.